GAUGAACGCUGGCGGCGUGCCUAAUACAUGCAAGUCGAGCGAACGGACGAGAAGCUUGCUUCUCUGAUGUUAGCGGCGGACGGGUGAGUAACACGUGGAUAACCUACCUAUAAGACUGGGAUAACUUCGGGAAACCGUAGCUAAUACCGGAUAAUAUUUUGAACCGCAUGGUUCAAAAGUGAAAGACGGUCUUGCUGUCACUUAUAGAUGGAUCCGCGCUGCAUUAGCUAGUUGGUAAGGUAACGGCUUACCAAGGCAACGAUGCAUAGCCGACCCGAGAGGGGGAUCGGCCACACUGGAACUGAGACACGGUCCAGACUCCUACGGGAGGCAGCAGUAGGGAAUCUUCCGCAAUGGGCGAAAGCCUGACGGAGCAACGCCGCGUGAGUGAUGAAGGUCUUCGGAUCGUAAAACUCUGUUAUUAGGGAAGAACAUAUGUGUAAGUAACUGUGCACAUCUUGACGGUACCUAAUCAGAAAGCCACGGCUAACUACGUG
RNAcentral lists this ribosomal RNA (497 nucleotides) under uncultured bacterium. RNAcentral's name for it is "partial 16S ribosomal RNA". It matches the Rfam family "Bacterial small subunit ribosomal RNA", at positions 28 to 507 of the family's 1533-position model. The record is from RNAcentral.